RNAcentral lists this long non-coding RNA (376 nucleotides) under Equus asinus (donkey). RNAcentral's name for it is "lncRNA (ENSEASG00005031990.1)". The record is from RNAcentral. Lineage: Eukaryota; Metazoa; Chordata; Mammalia; Perissodactyla; Equidae.
AUUAUUUACAAAAAAGUAUUAAAAAUGAUAUAAACAAUAUUUAAAAAUUAGUUGCCUACUACUAUGCCAACUUAAAUACUUUUCUAUCUUCUCUAGCAUCAAACAUUUGAAUACCUUGGCAGAUGCUGCUGAAACCAGUGUGAGAACCUCAAGCCAGACUGGAUCACCUCAUGCUUACUUCACGGAGCAGAAAGCUGGCGCCCAUCACCUGGUUCAGAGUUUCUUUCUCUACUUCUCUCAUCCCUGAGGGCCACGAACCUGCACACUUCACUCUCUAACAAUUUGUAGCCCGGGAUUUCUUUUCAGAAGGUGAAAGGAUCCCAUGGGUGGGCCCCAAAUCCAAUAGCAAGUGUCGUAUAAGAGACACACAGAGGAC